Mya arenaria is the source of this 445-nucleotide long non-coding RNA. RefSeq lists it as uncharacterized. The record is from RefSeq and is a predicted model, not a curated record. NCBI's taxonomy places the organism in Eukaryota, Metazoa, Mollusca, Bivalvia, Myida, Myidae. The transcript is spliced from 3 exons.
CUUCACUGGCGGAGAUAGUUUCGUACACCCGCCAUUUUUGUCGAAAUAAUGCGCCAAAUAAACUGAUAUGUCUUGUUUCGUUUAUUUAAGCCAACCCAAAGGAGCUAACAAAUAAAUCAUCAGUCCUCAAACGAAUCAACCAGUGAAGGAGAAAAACAUUCAAAGCCGUAAAUUGUCAAAUCCAUCAGUUGGAAGAUGGAUGUCAAAGUCUUAGACAACGAAAGGCUUCCAGAGUUAAGAAAAGACCACUUCAACAAAAACAAUCAUGCAAAGAAUGACUGCAAAAAAUCUUUUCGCAGAUGCGUUUCAUCAUCAAGUGUAUAAGGAAAAGGGACCUGGGUACAGAGACUAGAUGUAAAUGUCAAGGACUGAAAUGAGCAAUUCAAUGGUUUCUUACUAAUUGUGUUUAUAUGCGUCAUAAGAAAUUAAAACUGUUAUAAAUGGA